GGGUCAGUAGGUUGGUCGUGCCACCGGUACGUACUGGUCUCACUGAUUCCUCCUUCCUGAAGAACCGUUAUGCCAUUAAUUUGGUGUUGCGGUGAAACAGGACUGUUACUUUGAAAAAAUUAGAGUGUUUAAAGCAAGCUAACGCUUGAAUACAUUAGCAUGGAAUAAUGAAAUAGGACGAUCGAUCCUAUUUUGUUGGUUUCUAGGAUUGACGUA
This 216-nucleotide ribosomal RNA is filed under the name Glomeromycotina sp. Its description in RNAcentral is "partial small subunit ribosomal RNA". The stretch from base 40 to 216 matches the Rfam family "Eukaryotic small subunit ribosomal RNA", at positions 686 to 864 of the family's 1831-position model. The record is from RNAcentral. Lineage: Eukaryota; Fungi; Glomeromycota.